CAUUUUGUAAACCAUUUUCAAAUUACUUGUAUUUCAUAAAUUAAUGUAUUACUCAUUCACUAUGUCAACGUACUUUAAUUUUCCUUCUUUUUAUUAAUUAUGUUUUAUCACAAUGGAAUAUACAGUCUCAAUCAAUAAGAAUAUAGUUGUGUUUCUUCCUCUUUUUGCAUCAUAUUUAGUAUUGUUUUUUAAUUGCAUUUUUUUGUCCUUGAUCUUUAUCAACAAUUGGUAGGUUUAUUGAAACGUUUGUUUUUAUUUCGUUAAAGCAGCAAAAUGGAGUCAGAAGCGAUAUUCAUUUGAUCUUCUCAUCUACAAAUAUUACAAGUGCUGUUUGUUUCCUUUGCAUUUUUAUUUCUUUCAUUUUCUUUGUUAAAAAUUAGAAAUAACUAGUAGAUCCUACGUACAAAACGCCACUUUUUGUUGAUUUGUUUUUGUUUGUUGUUGUCUUCGCCUAAUAUGUAGAGUGUAAAAAUCUAGUAUAUAAUAAAACUCUGUAUACUGCACUAAAAGAAAGUUAUUUUUCCUUCCACGUGGUUCAAGAAUAGAGAUAUCGUACAAUUUGAACUUUGCUGAACGUAAAAAUGUCGUUUAUUAUUACUGUUGAUUUUUGUAGUCCCUAGAUUGUUAGCGUUAAUGCUUUUAUUUCGUUAUCUGCCCGAUGAUAUAUGAGUUUGUGUAUGUCAAUGAAUUCAAUGUGAUUACAUAUUUCCUAUUUCAGUUUGCUAAGAUUUUUUUUCAACAUCGGAAAGGCGGUGCUGUUUUAGCUACCGGAGAAAGAAACUACGAUACUACCCGAAUUGCAUUCAUGAUAACUCGCAUUGCAGCUCAUGAACAAUUUGUUUUGCGAUUGCCCCACUCUCAAUUGUUUGUAGGCAUAAUCAAAUGUUAUCAGUCGUCGUUCAUCAUCAUCUUCAUGUUUCGCAAUAAGUUUUUACAAAACUAUGUCACUUUUAUACUAACAAUCGGAGACAUGGCGAAUUUUGAAGAUUAUUAGGCGAGCGUGAUUUCAGCAGCGACAAGACCAUUUUAUGUGUCGCAUGUUUCUAACUAAAAAAAAACACAUAUGAUUUGUUUUGUCACAUCAGAAGAAAAAAGCCCGAAAAACAUUGUGAUGUUUAAUAGCGUGAAUCAGAAAGUUUAAAUACAUAUUUACGGCUUUUAUUGCAGUGUUAGUAUUUUUUUUUGAUUGCAAAUCAGACUUGUUUUAAAUGGCUUAACAUUCAUUCAUCCUUUUUAUAGAACACCUUCAGAUCUAUCUAACAAAAGUAAACGUAACGAGGUUGUAAAAUUUGGGGCUCUUCUCAAACUUCAAAUUUCAACUCAUUUGCUUGUGAGUUUGAUAUAUGUUGGUGGACUGAUUGGAACUCAAACUAAACCGAAAGUCCUGAGUGAAAUAGACAAAAAUUAGGAAGUGCAGCAGUAUACCUUAAAAACAUGCGGAUUAAGUGCAGGUAAAAUCUCAUAACAAAACAAAUUGAACGGAAGUGCCAGAAGAAAGUCCAAGCGAAAAAUGCAAAUCAAGUGCAACAUUUGCCGGGCAUACAUACAUAAAAAAUACUCUGAAGUAAAAUAGGGGCGAGACGAUAUUGGGGGUGUUUCAAAUUUAAAACGGAAAAAGAAUUAUAAAAUUUUGAACUUUCAUAGAAAAUUCUUCAAAAAAAACUGAAAAAAACUUCGAUUUAUCAUUUUUUUUUGUUAAUUUUUCAUUUCUCACUCUUUCAUCAUCGAAAGAUAAAUAGGAAAUCAAUAUUUAUUCCGGCCUAAUUGUUAGGAAAGUUGUUAUCAAAAGUUAUGCUUGAUUUACUGGAUAUCGAACAAGUUGACAUUGAGGAUGAUGAAGAAACGAUACUAACCGCUAGUGCACACGAUUCAACCACGCGCCUCAUGCUCUCUUAGGGCCGAAUAACAAGUUUUUUUUUGGGUUUCCUUCCAGCAUCAAUUGAGGUGUAACGAUGCGUUGAAUACGCGUAAUACCUAUCCAUUUAUUGCAUGGUACCUUCGACGACAUUUGAGUGGAUGCGUUAAAAAUGCUACGUGGACAGGAUCUUCUAGUACUUUUAACAUUUGUAGCUUUGCUCAAAAAUGAUUUUCGAUUCGCUUUAUGCUGAUUUGUUAAGUACAUAUUUUCUUUGAUCGCAUACGCUAGCUUCACUACACAAUAUACCUACACGUGUUUCCUCUAUGGGUACUGGAGAAAAACAACAAAUUGCAAUACUAUUAACUUUUGUUUGUUUAUUGUCGGAGAUUUUUAUCUCUCUCAUUUUAUAAAGUUUCUAACUCACAUUUUGCUUUUGACGGUUGCUUUACCUUUUGCCCUUUCUCAAUAGGUGUAAGUUUGGGUCUAUAACGCGGUGUGGCUAGUACUUUACUUCGUAGUUCGUACGUACAAUUUUUGCGAUAAAGAAGAUAACACACAUACAAUAUGCUUUCGUAAGGCAAUAAUGACUAUCAGGAAGGAUUUUCUUCUGUAUUCGUUUCGAUAUCUAAGAGUGUCUAAGAUUUGAAUUAGCUAAAAAAGUAAAAACAGCAAACAAAACAUUUGGUUGUGGGUACUCGACAAGAAAAUGAAAACACUGGACAAGAAAAUAAAUUAAGUAUAGAUUGCUUUUACACUGAUUGAGUGCAUUUUCUUAUCUUCUCUUUAGAAUGACUCGAUGUUUAAUAUUGUAGUAGUGAUUAAAAUGUAAAUGUCUCUUAUCGUAAAGCGAUUUUGUAAGCAGGUGGUAUGACGAUUAUUGUUCGAUGGUUUCAUAGGAAAUAAUUGUACACAAAAGGAAGAAGAGAUGUCCAACAAAUUUCCAACCUUUAUUCUAAUAUCGCGUUAUCAUAAAUUUACAUAAUUAACAGGUCAUCAAUAUUCAUUUUAAGCGUGAAAAUAGGCUUGCCUUCGGAUCAUUUUCAAUUCGAGUAUCGAAUAGGAAUUCUUCGUGGUAUUUGUUUUGUUUAGUAAGUUAUUUUCUCGUUCUUCGUCAAAACGUAUUUAAAGCUAAUAUUAUUAAAAAAAAAAACAAACAAAAAACUACGAACUAAGAACUAGAAUGUUAAGAUACACGUAUCUGAAACAAGGUAGUAAUAUAAGUAUUUAUAUAUCGACAAUCAUGAGUGUAUUUGUGACAUUUCUGUUUGCCCCGUCGUUCUCUAUUUUUUCCAGCAGCAUUGGUAAUGAUUAUAAUGAUUAACUAACUGUUAGCGGUUUGAUUGAGGAAACGAAACUAAAUAAAAAAUAUAAACACCUUAAACAAAAACCAUCACAGUAGGCAACAAAGUCGUUAGAAAAAAAAAUAAUCGAAAAAUUAAUCGUCAUACCUACGCUGUCUCCUAUUUCUAUUAUCAAUAUAUGCAUAGACUAAAUCUAGUAAUUACUAUAAACACUUAAAUAGAAAAAAAUAACGAAACAAAUUUAGGAAGAUAAGUUUUAAAAAGAUAAGGUAACUACACCGUCCUUAAGAAUGGAAACAAGGAAUCGUUAGGAACGUUGUUCUAUAAUGAGGAAGCAGAAUUCGAUUCCAAAAUAAAUGCAAAAUUCUGAUAGUUAAACGAUAAAUAAAUUCAACUGUAGAUAUAAAAGUUGAGUUAGAGAAAAAAUGUAUGACAUUUUCAAAAGAAAUAACUACUGGUUGGCGAAGUAGCGAUCAACUUUUACGCAUUACCUGUGGAAUUUUUUUUUCAAUAAAAUUUCGUACUUCACGUGAGAUGCCUUUAGCCAUACACAUUUCUGACGGUGCACACUUUUUGCGCAUGAAAGUCAGCGCCAUGUAAAUUGAAACCGAGCUUUCGAAUCAUUGGAAUGGGAUCGAUUUAUUUCAAUGUUUUGCCUACGGAACCAAGCCUUCGCUGAGCACACAUCUCCAUAUACCUAAACGUGCAAUAUUUUACUACGAGAUGCUAAGAGUUGCCGAUUGUUUUGCCAAAUACCUAUCUUGUUACGUUUCAAGUUUCCCAAGCUUGAUCGAGCACUGCCGUAAUCUGGAAAAGUGACGUAACAGCCAUUUUACAGCAUGCAUGUUUUCCAUUUUUCUGUUAAAGAGCUCGAUAAGUAGUACUCGUUAACACGGCAGAGCAGCCGUCAUCUUUACUGAAAUGUUUUUGCCUUUCUCGUUUUUUGUUUGGAUUCACUUUCAAAAGUUAGGAGUUGGAUUUAGGAUUAGGUGAUCAAAAUUUAACAAUAGAUGCCUAUAAUUUUUGGAUCAAAAUGAAAUAGUGAAAUCGUAGAAUCCAACCGUGAUAAGAUAAUCUUCCGAAGGCUUCUAAACUAUUUAUGAGCACACUGACUCCUUCAUAUACUCAAUCUUUAGCUAAUCUUCUUUGGGAUAUUGAUAUGUGAAUUAUGUAGAAAGUUCAAUUAACUCUAUAUUUGCAGUAAAAUAGUGGUGGUAGGCGCACAUUUGCCAAAUGCUUGCUGGAAUUCCUAAGUGCGUAGGACAAUUAUGCGCAUAACGACACACAACUAUUUUUUUAUAUGGAGCUACUCUUUAUCAAGUGAUAAUUUAUUUUAGCUUUAAACGCUAAUAGUCUACACAGGUUAUAAUUUCGGCUCUAUAAAAUUAAUGAUCAAGGACGUUUUCAAGGGCACCCCCUUCAAAACAGGAGCCACGCACAACUGUCAUUUUUAUUUUUCCACGCAUGCUACGACGCAGCAAAGCUGGAAUAUUAAAAAUGACAGUUGUGCAUGGCUCCCGUUUUGCAUUGGGUGCCCUUGAAAACGCGAGUGCAUUUAGUUUGGAUUCCGUGAUAAUUGUCCUUAAGCAGCAUACCACAUAACUAAAAAAAACAUUUUUUCAAACUUUGGGCCGAUUUCUUCACCUCCGCUUAGUGCUUAAACCAGGUUUAAUCGUAUGAGUAAGCACCGCUUAAGAGUUAAGCGGAGGUGAAGAAAUUGGCCUUUAGUAAUUAAGCCGGUUUUUGAUUCGAUGUUUUUUUUUUAUUAUAAAAUUUGGAUAAGAGUAUAUUUCGACGAAAUAAAAACUGUUACCUAGAUGAAAAACCACAAAACAACUUAUCAAUUUAAUUUUACAAGGUUAGCUAAAGUGAGCACCAAAGUGACCAAAACAGAUACACUUACCCUAUUUUGUUUUUUCAAUAUGGAUAUUUGUUGUUUCCAUACAAUGAAAUAAUAAAAUAUUAUUCAACAAUUCCUUGGUUGCUUAUUUAACGUGCAGCGUGUGACAGUUCAAAUUCAUUUUUCGGCUAAUAAGAAUGGAGGUGCUCAAACUGUUUUACUGUGUGCACUCUGACAUACUACGAAUUGUCUUCUUCCCCAGCGAACUACACGAUCCGAGAUUCCAAGUUCCAACUCUCAUUGACAGCGACGGCACAUAGAGAAUUUAUUCUAUUGUGUAGGUAAAUAGAAUUAUAAUUCGCAUUAUUUUUUGUUGUUUUCAUUCGAUUCACAACAGUUUGCUUUAUGUCGAGUGUGUCGCUUCGUGUUUUUGAUUAGUAAUUUUGAGCACAAUCUUACGCGUCUACUGGUUAGUUUGUUUCAUUUUUCAACAAUGAGUUAUGCCAAAAGAUGCAGCAGUUACAAUUAAUUUACUAUUCGUUAGACGGUGUGUUUACUCAAGUCAAUUAAAUAUUUUUUUUUUCGAUCUAACAAAACAAAUAACACGGGUUUAUUCAAUUGAAUCGAUCGGUUUUCACUACCUUCGGUUUUUGGUUGAAUUCGUCUCUUUAGCAUUCGUUGGUGUUCCGGUGAAGAUGAAACUCUCUCAGUUCCAGAUUUUUCGAAAAAGUUUUCAAUUUAUGGAAACAGAUACCUUUUAGUUGGUCUAUGUGUGUUUGUUACUGGUUUGAUUUUUUAUUUCUAGCCAGCUUUUAACUGGCAGACUAAAAUUAUGUGAAUUUAGCCCAUAGCACUCGAAUGAUUCAGAUUUAUUAAAGGCAAAAUAUAACCCAUAUUACGGAAAUCAAGAAUGGAAAUUGAUAAAAAAAAUCGUGCAUCCCACAAUCAAUCAAAUUGGAAGCUUCCUGCUUGGUUCGAUCCCUACUUUUGCUGCUCCGCUUGUUAUGAUAUAGUUUAUGUGUGUAUAGCCCAGCUUACUGCUGUUGUGAGUGGUGGUGAUACUACUCAGUGAGUAUUGUUUCUCUCUCGAUUUAACUAUCUUUAAUUUGCCGACUAAUACAUAUCAAAAGGUAAAACACAAUUUCAUCGUAAAAACUACUUGAUUUUGGCAUUUUGUCAUUUCACUGCUUGCUUCUCUUUUAGUUAUCCCCGUUUUUGUAUUUAUGUUUGAAACAUUGCUAUCUGCUCUUUUUUGUUAGAGUCCCUGAAAAUGGCAAGUAAGCUGAAAUCUCACAAUUCUGCUUCUCAAGCAGAACCUUCUCCUGUGGAUAAGUAUGUGCUGGCUUUCCCGAAUGAUAUUUGGUGGCGUGGGAACAGUUGACAAAGGAAAAAACUAACAAUUAUACUAGGUACAUCUAUAAUUUGUUUAGGUAGCCAAUGUGACUUGAUGAUGACGGUUGGUAUUCGACCAGAUCUCAAUUUAAAAUGUGCAUCGUUUUGCUUCAAAACUGCACAUAUUGUUGCGCCUAUUUUUUGGCUCUUCGUUCAAGGUGAUAAAAUUUUUCCUUUAUUCAUAUUUUCUGCUUUUGCCUACAUGACUAAAAAUCGCACAUUCAAAAAUGAUAUUUAUAAUAAAGCGCAAAAAGACACGGGAUGGAGACAUUGCGUUCUGUCUUUAUCUACUAAAGGCUGUGCCCUAUUUUUUAAC
Armigeres subalbatus is the source of this 6707-nucleotide long non-coding RNA. RefSeq lists it as uncharacterized. The transcript is spliced from 2 exons. The record is from RefSeq and is a predicted model, not a curated record. Lineage: Eukaryota; Metazoa; Arthropoda; Insecta; Diptera; Culicidae.